This 762-nucleotide ribosomal RNA is filed under the name Brocchinia fischeri. RNAcentral describes it as "partial 16S ribosomal RNA". The stretch from base 1 to 590 matches the Rfam family "Bacterial large subunit ribosomal RNA", at positions 1803 to 2925 of the family's 2925-position model. The record is from RNAcentral. Lineage: Eukaryota; Metazoa; Mollusca; Gastropoda; Neogastropoda; Cancellariidae.
UUUAUCAAAAACAUGGCUUCUUGAUUUAUGAAAUAUAAGAAGUCGAGCCUGCCCAGUGAUUUAUUUAACGGCCGCGGUACCCUGACCGUGCGAAGGUAGCAUAAUAGUUUGCCCUAUAAUUGAGGGCUUGUAUGAAUGGUUUGACAAGAGCAUAGCUGUCUCUUUAUAAUUUAGUAAAAUUUUAUUUUUAGGUGAAGAAGCUUAAAUAUAAUUAAAAGACGAGAAGACCCUAUCGAGCUUAAAAUCAGUUGAUAGAUUAAAUAAUACUAGUAGAAUAAUUAAACUAUUGAAUAUUUUAGUUGGGGCGACUACGGAACAGAAAAAGCUUCCUAGAUUAAAAUGACUGACUUGUAAUGAUCCACUAUUUGUGAUAAAAGGAAAAGCUACCGUAGGGAUAACAGCAUAAUCUUUUUUGAGAGUUCAAAUUGAAAAGAAGGUUUGUGACCUCGAUGUUGGACCAAAAUAUCCUGAAGAUGCAGCAGUCUUUAAGGGUUGGUCUGUUCGACCAUUAAAAUUUUACGUGAUCUGAGUUCAGACCGGCGCAAGCCAGGUCAGUUUCUAUCUUUAAUUUUUAUUUUAAAUUUAGUACGAAAGGAUUAAUUUAAAUUAAGGUUUAUUUAUUAUGAUGUUAUAUAAUGUUUAAUUGAAAUCAUACAUCAGAUUAGCAAAAUUAAUGUACCCGACUUAGAAUCGGCUGAUAUAAGUUAAAAUCUUUUAUCUGAGAGCAUUAUUAUAAAUUGGCAGAUUAAGUGCAUUGGGUUU